ACUUUGAUCACAAACUGGAUUAUCUUAGAUUUGAGGUAAGAAUCUGAAAGAAUUAGGUAAUUGUUUUCUAAUUAUUUGAAGUCGAUUUGGGGGAUGGGCCGAAAGAAAUCAUAAA
Long non-coding RNA from Diprion similis, 115 nucleotides. RefSeq lists it as uncharacterized. The record is from RefSeq and is a predicted model, not a curated record. The transcript is spliced from 3 exons. Lineage: Eukaryota; Metazoa; Arthropoda; Insecta; Hymenoptera; Diprionidae.